AAGCUGGUGGGCGCAGCUGGUUCGCCCCGUCCGCCAGACGGGAUGCGUCGCAAGAGGGAACCCGGUGGAAAUCCGGGACUGCCCCGCAGCGGUGAGCGGGAACGACCGCCGUCAUCACGCACUGGGUCCGACGAAACGGGCCUGGGAAGCGACGGCCACUAGGUGUCCUCUUCGAGGGCGUGCCCGCGAGUCCGAAGACCUGCCAACUGCCCGCGCGCGGA
This 221-nucleotide non-coding RNA is filed under the name Streptomyces pratensis. Lineage: Bacteria; Bacillati; Actinomycetota; Actinomycetes; Kitasatosporales; Streptomycetaceae. The record is from RNAcentral.